This 515-nucleotide ribosomal RNA is filed under the name uncultured bacterium. RNAcentral describes it as "partial 16S ribosomal RNA". It matches the Rfam family "Bacterial small subunit ribosomal RNA", at positions 28 to 523 of the family's 1533-position model. The record is from RNAcentral.
GAUGAACGCUGGCGGCGUGCCUAAUACAUGCAAGUCGAGCGAAUGGAUUAAGAGCUUGCUCUUAUGAAGUUAGCGGCGGACGGGUGAGUAACACGUGGGUAACCUGCCCAUAAGACUGGGAUAACUCCGGGAAACCGGGGCUAAUACCGGAUAACAUUUUGAACCGCAUGGUUCGAAAUUGAAAGGCGGCUUCGGCUGUCACUUAUGGAUGGACCCGCGUCGCAUUAGCUAGUUGGUGAGGUAACGGCUCACCAAGGCAACGAUGCGUAGCCGACCUGAGAGGGUGAGCGGCCAAACUGGGACUGAGAGACGGCCCAGACUCCUACGGGAGGCAGCAGUAGGGACUCUUCCGCAAUGGACGAAAGUCUGACGGAGCAACGCCGCGUGAGUGAUGAAGGCUUUCGGGUCGUAAAACUCUGUUGUUAGGGAAGAACAAGUGCUAGUUGAAUAAGCUGGCACCUUGACGGUACCUAACCAGAAAGCCACGGCUAACUACGUGCCAGCCGCCGCAGUAA